AGAGUUUGAUUCUGGCUCAGGACGAACGCUGGCGGCGUGCCUAACACAUGCAAGUCGAGCGGGGACAUACGACGGAUAGGAAGUUUCGGAUGGAAUUGAAGAUGUAUUGUUCUAGCGGCGGACGGGUGAGUAACGCGUGAGCAACCUGUCCCUUACAGGGGGAUAACACAGCGAAAGUUGUACUAAUACCGCAUAAGACCACGGGGAGACAUCUUCCAGGGGUCAAAGGAGCAAUCCGGUAAGGGGUGGGCUCGCGUCCGAUUAGAUAGUUGGUGAGGUAACGGCCCACCAAGUCGACGAUCGGUAGCCGACCUGAGAGGGUGAUCGGCCACAUUGGGACUGAGACACGGCCCAAACUCCUACGGGAGGCAGCAGUGGGGAAUAUUGGGCAAUGGGGGGAAACCCUGACCCAGCAACGCCGCGUGAGGGAAGAAGGUUUUCGGAUCGUAAACCUCUGUCCUUGGUGAAGAGGAAGAGACGGUAGCCAAGGAGGAAGCCCCGGCUAACUACGUGCCAGCCGCCGC
Molecule: ribosomal RNA, 524 nt
Filed under: uncultured bacterium
Lineage: Bacteria
Description: bacterial SSU rRNA
Rfam family: Bacterial small subunit ribosomal RNA
Source: RNAcentral